This 221-nucleotide ribosomal RNA is filed under the name uncultured bacterium. Its description in RNAcentral is "partial 16S ribosomal RNA". It matches the Rfam family "Bacterial small subunit ribosomal RNA", at positions 1283 to 1500 of the family's 1533-position model. The record is from RNAcentral.
ACGUCUCAGUUCGGAUUGUAGUCUGCAACUCGACUACAUGAAGCUGGAAUCGCUAGUAAUCGCGAAUCAGAAUGUCGCGGUGAAUACGUUCCCGGGUCUUGUACACACCGCCCGUCACACCAUGGGAGUUGGCAACGCCCGAAGUCAGUGACCCAACCUUAACAGGGAGGGAGCUGCCGAAGGCGGGGCUGAUAACUGGGGUGAAGUCGUAACAAGGUAAC